UUCAACUGAAUAUCCAAACCAAAGACAGCGGGUGUGAGUUUUUCACUUAAUGUCCUGCCGAGGUUUGAUUUUUGCAAGACACAGCUUUUUGUGUUCUCAAGAAAUCAUGCGAACUCGGCUUUUCACAAGGUCGAGUUUUUUGUUUUUGGAU
Leptolyngbya sp. NIES-2104 is the source of this 151-nucleotide non-coding RNA. The record is from Rfam. NCBI's taxonomy places the organism in Bacteria, Bacillati, Cyanobacteriota, Cyanophyceae, Leptolyngbyales, Leptolyngbyaceae.